RNAcentral lists this small nucleolar RNA (84 nucleotides) under Ipomoea nil (Japanese morning glory). RNAcentral describes it as "Small nucleolar RNA R44/J54/Z268 family". It matches the Rfam family "Small nucleolar RNA R44/J54/Z268 family". Rfam says of the family: R44, J54 and Z268 are members of the C/D class of snoRNA which contain the C (UGAUGA) and D (CUGA) box motifs. Most of the members of the box C/D family function in directing site-specific 2'-O-methylation of substrate RNAs. The record is from Rfam by way of RNAcentral. Lineage: Eukaryota; Viridiplantae; Streptophyta; Magnoliopsida; Solanales; Convolvulaceae.
UGUGCAAGUGAUGAUAAAUAGACAGGGACAUCAGCACUCUUUAAAAGAAUGAUGAUUUGUCAAUGGGAAUCUCUCUGAUGCACA